AACGAACGCUAGCGGCGUGGAUAAGACAUGCAAGUCGAACGGGCAGCAAUGCCAGUGGCGAACGGGUGCGUAACACGUAGGCAAUAUGCCGGGAAGUGGGGAAUAGCCCAGGGAAACUUGGAUUAAUACCGCAUGCGGCCAUGAAGGACAUCCUUUAUGGUCAAAGGAGGGGCUCGCAAGACCUUUCGCUUCCCGAUUAGCCUGCGGCCUAUCAGCUUGUUGGCGGGGUAACGGCCCACCAAGGCGACGACGGGUAGCUGGUCUGAGAGGAUGACCAGCCACAUUGGAACUGAGACACGGUCCAGACACCUACGGGUGGCAGCAGUCGAGAAUCAUUCACAAUGGGCGAAAGCCUGAUGGUGUGACGCCGCGUGGAGGAUGAAGGUCUUCGGAUUGUAAACUCCUGUCAUUCAUGAGCAAGGUUUAUGGGCUAAUAACUCAGAAACUUGAUAUUAAUGGAAGAGGAAGAGACGGCUAACUCUGUGCCAGCAGCCGCGGUAAUACAGAGGUCUCAAGCGUUGUUCGGAAUCACUGGGCGUAAAGGGUGCGUAGGCGGAACGCCAAGUCAGAUGUGAAAGACCGGGGCUCAACCCCGGAACGGCAUCCGAUACUGGCGAUCUAGAGGGCUCGAGGGGAGUGUGGAAUUCACGGUGUAGCAGUGAAAUGCGUAGAUAUCGUGAGGAACACCUGGCGAAGGCGACACUCUGGAGAGCAACUGACGCUGAGNACGGAGGCCAGGGGAGCGAACGGGAUUAGAUACCCCGGUAGUCCUGGCAGUAACGGUGUGCGUUGGUAUGGGGGGGUUCGACCCCUUCCGUGCCGGAGCUACGCGUUAACGCACCGCCUGGGAAGUACGGUCGCAGAUU
This 866-nucleotide ribosomal RNA is filed under the name uncultured bacterium. RNAcentral's name for it is "bacterial SSU rRNA". It matches the Rfam family "Bacterial small subunit ribosomal RNA", at positions 28 to 895 of the family's 1533-position model. The record is from RNAcentral.